This 486-nucleotide ribosomal RNA is filed under the name uncultured bacterium. RNAcentral describes it as "partial 16S ribosomal RNA". It matches the Rfam family "Bacterial small subunit ribosomal RNA", at positions 29 to 507 of the family's 1533-position model. The record is from RNAcentral.
AUUGAACGCUGGCGGCAUGCCUUACACAUGCAAGUCGAACGGCAGCACGGGUGCUUGCACCUGGUGGCGAGUGGCGCACGGGUGAGUAAUACAUCGGAACAUGUCCUGUAGUGGGGGAUAGCCCGGCGAAAGCCGGAUUAAUACCGCAUACGAUCUACGGGUGAAAGCGGGGGCACUUCGGGCCUCGCGCUUUAGGGUUGGCCGAUGGCGGAUUAGCUAGUUGGUGGGGUAAAGGCCUACCAAGGCGACGAUCAGUAGCUGGUCUGAGAGGACGACCAGCCACACUGGGACUGAGACACGGCCCAGACUCCUACGGGAGGCAGCAGUGGGGAAUUUUGGACAAUGGGCGAAAGCCUGAUCCAGCAAUGCCGCGUGUGUGAAGAAGGCCUUCGGGUUGUAAAGCACUUUUGUCCGGAAAGAAAUCCUUGGCCCUAAUACGGGCGGGGGAUGACGGUACCGGAAGAAUAAGCACCGGCUAACUACGUG